RNAcentral lists this ribosomal RNA (929 nucleotides) under uncultured bacterium. RNAcentral describes it as "bacterial SSU rRNA". It matches the Rfam family "Bacterial small subunit ribosomal RNA", at positions 28 to 964 of the family's 1533-position model. The record is from RNAcentral.
GAUGAACGCUGGCGGCGUGCCUAAUACAUGCAAGUCGAACGAGGACACUUUUGUAUUCGUACGGAGGUGUUCCUAGUGGCGAACGGGUGAGUAACACGUUGGUGACCUGCCCCGAGGCGGGGGAUAACCACGGGAAACAGUGGCUAAUACCCCAUGAGCUCCGAGGAGUUAGAUGCCCUCGGAGGAAAGGAGCAAUCCACCUUGGGAGGGGCCUGCGGCCCAUCAGCUAGUUGGUAGGGUAACGGCCUACCAAGGCGUACGGGUAGGGGGCCUGAGAGGGUGGCCCCCCACAUUGGCACUGAGACACGGGCCAGACACCUACGGGUGGCAGCAGUAGGGAAUCUUGCACAAUGGGCGAAGGCCUGAUGCAGCAACGCCGCGUGGAGGAUGAAUGCCUUCGGGUUGUAAACUCCUUUUCGGGGGGAUGAGGAAGGACAGUACCCCCGGAAUAAGUCUCGGCUAACUACGUGCCAGCAGCCGCGGUAAAACGUAGGAGGCAAGCGUUAUCCGGAUUUACUGGGCGUAAAGCGCGUGUAGGCGGCUUGGUAAGUCGUACGUGAAAUCUCCCGGCUCAACUGGGAGACGCCGUGCGAUACUGCCAGGCUAGAGGGCAAUAGAGGGGGGUGGAAUUCCGGGUGUAGCGGUGAAAUGCGUAGAUAUCCGGAGGAACACCAGUGGCGAAGGCGGCCCCCUGGAUUGACCCUGACGCUCAGACGCGAAAGCUAGGGGAGCAAACGGGAUUAGAAACCCCGGUAGUCCUAGCUGUAAACGAUGCAGACUUGGUGUUGGUGGCUUAAACACCAUCAGUGCCGCAGCUAACGCGAUAAGUCUGCCGCCUGGGGACUACGGCCGCAAGGCUAAAACUCAAAGGAAUUGACGGGGACCCGCACAAGCAGCCGAGCGUGUGGUUUAAUUCCGAGGCUACACGA